GAGAGAUGGCUGAGUGGUUGAUAGCCCCGGUCUGAAA
This 37-nucleotide transfer RNA is filed under the name Anathallis citrina. Its description in RNAcentral is "partial tRNA-Ser". Lineage: Eukaryota; Viridiplantae; Streptophyta; Magnoliopsida; Asparagales; Orchidaceae. The record is from RNAcentral.